GUGGGGAAUAUUGGGCAAUGGGCGCAAGCCUGACCCAGCAACGCCGCGUGAAGGAAGAAGGCUUUCGGGUUGUAAACUUCUUUUCUCAGGGACGAACAGAUGACGGUACCUGAGGAAUAAGCCACGGCUAACUACGUGCC
This 140-nucleotide ribosomal RNA is filed under the name uncultured bacterium. Its description in RNAcentral is "partial 16S ribosomal RNA". It matches the Rfam family "Bacterial small subunit ribosomal RNA", at positions 354 to 509 of the family's 1533-position model. The record is from RNAcentral.